Molecule: transfer RNA, 65 nt
Filed under: Porphyromonas somerae
Lineage: Bacteria; Pseudomonadati; Bacteroidota; Bacteroidia; Bacteroidales; Porphyromonadaceae
Rfam family: tRNA (bases 1-58)
About the family: Transfer RNA (tRNA) molecules are approximately 80 nucleotides in length.
Source: RNAcentral
GCUCAGUUGGUUUAGAGCAUCUGCCUUACAAGCAGAGGGUCGAAGGUUCGAAUCCUUCAGGGUCC